UACGCCCGCAAGGUUAAAACUCAAAGGAAUUGACGGGACCCGCACAAGCGGUGGAUUAUGUGGAUUAAUUCGAUGCGACGCGAAAAACCUUACCUACCCUUGACAUGCCAGGAACCUCGCAGAGAUGUGAGGGUGCCCGAAAGGGAGCCUGGACACAGGUGCUGCAUGGCUGUCGUCAGCUCGUGUCGUGAGAUGUUGGGUUAAGUCCCGCAACGAGCGCAACCCUUGCCAUUAGUUGCCACAUUCAGUUGGGCACUCUAAUGGGACUGCCGGUGACAAACCGGAGGAAGGUGGGGAUGACGUCAAGUCCUCAUGGCCCUUAUGGGUAGGGCUUCACACGUAAUACAAUGGUCGGUACAGAGGGUUGCCAACCCGCGAGGGGGAGCUAAUCUCAGAAAGCCGAUCGUAGUCCGGAUUGUUCUCUGCAACUCGAGAGCAUGAAGCCGGAAUCGCUAGUAAUCGCGGAUCAGCAUGUCGCGGUGAAUACGUUCCCGGGUCUUGUACACACCGCCCGUCACACCAUGGGAGUGGGUUUCACCAGAAGUGGGUAGCCUAACCGCAAGGAGGGCGCUUACCACGGUGAGAUUCAUGACUGGGGUG
RNAcentral lists this ribosomal RNA (600 nucleotides) under uncultured bacterium. RNAcentral's name for it is "bacterial SSU rRNA". It matches the Rfam family "Bacterial small subunit ribosomal RNA", at positions 881 to 1482 of the family's 1533-position model. The record is from RNAcentral.